This 451-nucleotide ribosomal RNA is filed under the name uncultured bacterium. Its description in RNAcentral is "partial 16S ribosomal RNA". It matches the Rfam family "Bacterial small subunit ribosomal RNA", at positions 29 to 523 of the family's 1533-position model. The record is from RNAcentral.
AACGAACGCUGGCGGCAGGCUUAACACAUGCAAGUCGAACGGGUGCAGCAAUGCAUCAGUGGCAGACGGGUGAGUAACACAUGGGAACCUUCCUAGGGGUACGGAACAACUCAGGGAAACUUGAGCUAAUACCGUAUACGUCCGUGAGGAGAAAGAUUUAUCGCCCUUAGACGGGCCCGCGUCGGAUUAGCUAGUUGGUGGGGUAACGGCCUACAAAGGCGACGAUCCGUAGCUGAUCUUAGAGGAUGAUCAGCCACACUGGGACUGAGACACGGCCCAGACUCCUACGGGAGGCAGCAGUGAGGAAUCUUGGACAAUGGGCGCAAGCCUGAUCCAGCCAUGCCGCGUGAGUGAAGAAGGUCUUCGGAUUGUAAAGCUCUUUUGCCAGGGACGAUAAUGACGGUACCUGGAGAAUAAGCCCCGGCAAACUUCGUGCCAGCCGCCGCAGUAA